This 3493-nucleotide long non-coding RNA is filed under the name Sus scrofa (pig). Its description in RNAcentral is "lncRNA (ENSSSCG00015022998.1)". The record is from RNAcentral. Lineage: Eukaryota; Metazoa; Chordata; Mammalia; Artiodactyla; Suidae.
UUUUUUUUUUUUUUUUCUUAGCGGCCCCACGACAUAUGGGAUUCUGGGGCCAGGGAUCAGAUCUCAGCCGAAGUCUCCACCUAAGCAGAAGCUGCAGCAACAUUGGAUCUUUAACCCUCUGUGCCAGGGUGGGGAUCGAACCUGCGUCCCAGCGCUCCCAAGACACCGCAGAUCCCACUGCGCCACAUUGAGAACUCCUGUAUCUCACAUUUAACAUAGCAAACCCAAAACUGGUUUCACCCACCGUCUACUUGAGUUUUAUGUGUUGAACCAUUGAAAUCCUGACAGUAGUCUCUCAAUGCUAUUUGCUGAAGUUGAGGAAACUAAUGAUUCAUUCAUGUAAAACAUCUGAAGAGAUGGUUUUCUUUCAGUGCCCCUUGGACAAAUGAGGGACCAUCUAGAGCUUUUUAUUUUUUUAAAAGGUCAUUUGUGAAAUCAUAGAAUUAGAAAGGAUUUUAGAGGUCAUCCAGUGGUUAUCAUCUUGGCUCCCAGUAUCUCACAGGGCCUUCAAGGUUAUUAGUGGAGUUUUCAAAGUAAUUUUCAAAUUUCAAAAGCCCCAACAUGUUCUAUAUUUUCUUUUUUUGGCCCCACCCAUGGCAUGGGGAAGUUCCCAGGCCAAGGAUCGAACAUGCACCACAGCAGUGACAACACCAGAUCCUUAAUCCUUUGAGCCCCAGGGAACUCCUGUUUUUUUUCCUGGAAUAAUUGCUUUCUUUCUUUUUUUUUUUUUUUGGUCUUUUUAGGGCCACAUCUGCAGCAUAUGGAGGUUCCCACGCUAGGGGUCAAAGCGGAGCUGUAGCUGCCAGCCCACACCACAGCCACAGCCACAACCACGCCAUAUCUGAGCCAAGUCUGUGACCUACACCAUAACUCUUGGCAAUGCCAGAUCCUUAACCCAAUGAACCAGCCCAGGGAUAGAACUGCGUGCUCAUGGAUACUAGUCAGAUUUGUUUCCACUGAGCCACGACGGGAACUCCCUCCUGGAAUAAUUUCAUACAUGUAUUAUUAUCGUUAUUGUUAUUUCUACUAGUCUUUGGUUUGUUUAAAAGAUAGAGUUAGGCAGAUAACAAUUUUCCAGACUUUGAGGUUGGAGGCAAUAUAUAAGAAUGGUUGAGAAUUCCCGACGUUCAGUGGUUAACGAAUCUGACUAGGAACCAUGAGGUUUUGGGUUCAAUCCCCCGCUCUAGCCCAGUGGGUUAAGGAUUCGGUGUUGCCAUGGGCUGUGGUGUGGGUCGCUACAGCUCCGAUUAGACCCCUAGCCUGGGAACCUACAUAUGCUGCUGGUGCAGCCCUAGAAAAGACAAAAAGACAAAAAAAAAAAAAAGAAUGGUUGAAAGAGUAGGUCUAAUUCAGACAGACUUGGAAUCAAACCUUAGCUCAGCCUCUGACUGUGUGUGUACCCUCGAGUAAGUUUUCACCUCCUAAGCCUUGGUUACCUCAUCUGUGAAGUGGCAGUGAUGAUACCGUUCCCCCCUCAUAGAGUGGUUGUGGAGAUGGAAUGAGAAAAUACAUAUGCUGGGUUUAUUACAUUGCUUAACCCUUUACUAGCUUUAAAAUGUUUAUUGUGGGGUUUAUGGAGAAAAUACUGUAAAAUUCAUAUGGUUCAGAGAAUGUUGAGGGCUCCUGAUUUUAUUCAACCUUACUUCCAAUAUGGAUAUUCAUUCUCAGUAAUAUAUUCUCCAGCUUUGUUGAGGCAUAACUGACAAAUUAAAGUUGUGUGUAUUUAAGGUGUACAAUGGGAUGCUUUGUUACGUAUUGUGAAAUUAUGGCUACGAUCACCUAAUUAAUGUAUCCUUCACCUCAUAUAGCUGUGUUUUUUUCUGUGUGUUGUGAAUACUUAAUAUCUGCUCACUUAGAAACUUUCAAGUAUACAGUACAUUGUUAUUAACUAGUCACCAUUUGUACGUUAGGUCUCUGAAACUUAUCCAUCUUAAAACUGAAAGCUUGUACCCUUUGGCCAGCAUCUCCCUAUUUCCCCCACUCCCUGACCCUUCUAUUUUCUGUUUCUAUGAGGUCAACAUUUUUUGGAUUCCAUGUAUAAGUGAUAUCACCAUUUGUUUUUUUUCUUUCUAGCUUAUUUUACUUGGCAUAAUCUCCAGAUUCAUCCAUGUUGUCACAAAUAGCAGGACUUUGCUAUCGAUCGAUCGAUCGAUCUAUCUAUCUAUCUAUCUAUCUAUCUAUCUAUCUAUCUAUCUAUCAUCUAUCUAUCCGGCUUUGGCCGCACAGCAGCAUAUGGAGUUCCUGGGCUAGGGAUCAAAUCUGAGCUGCAGCUGCAACCUACACCUCAGCUUGUGACAGCACUGGAUCUUUAACCCAGUGAGCAAGGCCAGGGAUCAAACCCAUUCCUCAUGGACACUGGUUCUUUACCUGCUGAGCCACAACGGGAAUUCCCAAGUAUUUUUUAAAUGGUGGAAUAACUAAACCUUGUUCAUUAAAUAUCAAGUUCUAGACAGGUCGCCCACUAUCACCAUGGUCAGUCAGUCAUUUUGGGAACUUCUAAAUAAAGCAGUAAGACAAGAAAAUGAAAUAAUUGGUCCCAAAUGAUAUGAUUUUACACCUAAAAAAUGUACAGAAUUUUAACUUAAAACUACAAUAUUUAUUUAGAUAAUUAGGAAGGCCUGGGUGGGGCCUGAGACUCUGUACUUGUACAGAGCUUCCAACUGAUGUGAAUUCUGCUGGUCCCCUUGUGAUACUUAGAAGAGCUAGUGUAUUUACUGUGAAUUCAGUGGUCAAGAAUGUAGCUUUGAAGUCCUUCAAUUUGAAGGGGUUAUAUUCCCAGGUUUUCCUCUCUUAAUAUGCCUAAUUUUGGUCAAAUUACUUAACUCUGGAAGCUCCACCUCCAUCAUUUGUUAAAUGGAGAUAAUCAUGGGUAAUAAUGCAAGUUCCAUGCUUAGCAGAAAAUCAGCUCUGUUAAUUGUCGGCUCUAUUCAUACUUCUCACAGGUCAAACUACCUUUGGAUCGCCACUUGAUAACCAGUGGAAAUGCAGAGAGAUGUGGGAAAUAUCCCAAACUACUUAUCUUUUACAAAGCCAGUCAGAUAAAGUAACCUGUUGGAUGGGAGAAUCACUUUUCCCCCCACAUCCACCCAGGUGUCCAUAAACUGAGCUUUGAGGGGGAGAAGCUGUUGUAGAAGGAGCCAGGCAAGUCUGAGUCUGGGACCACCAGUCUUCCCAUGGCAGAUCCAGCCUCCUGACUGCUCCCCUGUUUCUUCUCUUCCCUCUACAGUCUGAUCUCUGUAUCAGAGUUGAGUGACUUCGUUACAACACAAGAGCCAUCCUAUAACUCUCCUUCUUAAAUUCUCUAGUGGUUUCCCAUCACACUUAUAAUGGAAUCCAAACUUCCAACCAUGCCCCUCAAGGUCCUGCAUGAUUUGCUGCUACCUUCCUCCCCUCUGACGUCGUCUCUCCCCAUCGCUCACUCCUCUCCAUCCCUCCAUCCACAUGGCUCUUCCUGUGAUUCUGUGAACCUGCCGAGUAGUCUCUGCCUCAGGAC